This 437-nucleotide ribosomal RNA is filed under the name uncultured bacterium. Its description in RNAcentral is "partial 16S ribosomal RNA". It matches the Rfam family "Bacterial small subunit ribosomal RNA", at positions 28 to 507 of the family's 1533-position model. The record is from RNAcentral.
GAUGAACGCUGGCGGUAUGCUUAACACAUGCAAGUCGAACGGAAAGUUCGGUUCUGGGGUCCAAGGGGGGCGAAAGGCGUGGUAACCUGGCGGUGAGCUGCGCUCCACCUUUGGAUAAGCUGGCGAAACUCGGUCUAAUCGCGGGGUAAAAUAGGAGUUGCGUGAGGAGUGGCGCGCGGCUUUUUCGGUUGGUGGUGGGGCGACGGCCCACCAAGUCGACGAUAGGUAGCUGGCCUGAGAGGGUGACCAGCGACACUGGGACUGAGAGACGGCCCAGACUCCUACGGGGGGCAGCAGUGGGGAAUAUUGCACAAUGGGCGCAAGCCUGAUGCAGCGACGCCGCGUGGGGGAUAACGGCCUUCGGGUGGUAAACACCUUUCAGCACAGACGAAGAGUAAGUGACGGUAUGUGAAGAAGAAGCACCGGCCAACUACGUG